UACAGAGGUCCCAAGCGUUGUUCGGAUUUACUGGGCGUAAAGGGUGCGUAGGUGGUGAGGUAAGUCUGAUGUGAAAUCUCCGAGCUUAACUCGGAAAUGGCAUUGGAAACUACCUUGCUAGAGGGUUGGAGGGGGGACUGGAAUACUUGGUGUAGCAGUGAAAUGCGUAGAUAUCAAGUGGAACACCAGUGGCGAAGGCGAGUCCCUGGACAACUCCUGACACUGAGGCACGAAGGCCAGGGGAGCAAACGGG
RNAcentral lists this ribosomal RNA (253 nucleotides) under uncultured bacterium. RNAcentral describes it as "partial 16S ribosomal RNA". It matches the Rfam family "Bacterial small subunit ribosomal RNA", at positions 524 to 776 of the family's 1533-position model. The record is from RNAcentral.